AAUUGCGAUCUGACACCAAAAAACGGUAACGGAAGGGAUGUAGAUGAUAGAAAAAUGAAAAGAUGAAAAAUGGCCGUGAAAGGCUUGACGGAGCUCCUAAAUCCCGCCUCGUCUUAUACUUUUAAUAAAAAAAACAGUGUUUGAAGGGAGCUUUUGAGACAUUUUUGGGGAAAAAAGUUUAAGAAAAGUUGAUCUGAACUGAUCCUGUAGAGGACCGAUUAGGCUCCAAUGAAGGGAACAAAAAAUUGUAAAAAUUGUUACCAAACAAUAUUCUAGAUUUAUUUGAAAGUACAACUUAUAAUCUUAGGGACUCUAA
Molecule: non-coding RNA, 316 nt
Organism: Paramuricea clavata
Lineage: Eukaryota; Metazoa; Cnidaria; Anthozoa; Malacalcyonacea; Plexauridae
Source: the annotation of a GenBank genome assembly